GACGAACGCUGGCGGCGUGCUUAACACAUGCAAGUCGAACGGAAAGGCCCUGCUUUUGUGGGGUGCUCGAGUGGCGAACGGGUGAGUAACACGUGAGUAACCUGCACUUGACUUUGGGAUAAAUUCAGGAAACUGGGGCUAAUACCGGAUAGGAGCUCCUGCUGCAUGGUGGGGGUUGGAAAGUUUCGGCGGUUGGGGAUGGACUCGCGGCUUAUCAGCUUGUUGGUGGGGUAGUGGCUUACCAAGGCUUUGACGGGUAGCCGGCCUGAGAGGGUGACCGGCCACAUUGGGACUGAGAUACGGCCCAGACUCCUACGGGAGGCAGCAGUGGGGAAUAUUGCACAAUGGGCGGAAGCCUGAUGCAGCAACGCCGCGUGCGGGAUGACGGCCUUCGGGUUGUAAACCGCUUUCGCCUGUGACGAAGCGUGAGUGACGGUAAUGGGUAAAGAAGCACCGGCUAACUACGUG
RNAcentral lists this ribosomal RNA (468 nucleotides) under uncultured bacterium. RNAcentral's name for it is "partial 16S ribosomal RNA". It matches the Rfam family "Bacterial small subunit ribosomal RNA", at positions 28 to 507 of the family's 1533-position model. The record is from RNAcentral.